UACGUAGGGUGCAAGCGUUGUCCGGAAUUAUUGGGCGUAAAGAGCUCGUAGGCGGCUUGUCACGUCUGCUGUGAAAACUCGGGGCUCAACCCCGUGCCUGCUUCCGAUACGGGCAGACUAGAGGUAUGCAGGGGAGAACGGAAUUCCUGGUGUAGCGGUGAAAUGCGGCAGAAUAAUCAGGAGGAACACCGGUGGCGAAGGGCGGGAUUCAUCCGUUGGGGCCGAAGCUUGAUCC
RNAcentral lists this ribosomal RNA (235 nucleotides) under uncultured bacterium. Its description in RNAcentral is "partial 16S ribosomal RNA". It matches the Rfam family "Bacterial small subunit ribosomal RNA", at positions 524 to 759 of the family's 1533-position model. The record is from RNAcentral.